This 327-nucleotide ribosomal RNA is filed under the name uncultured eukaryote. RNAcentral describes it as "partial 18S ribosomal RNA". It matches the Rfam family "Eukaryotic small subunit ribosomal RNA", at positions 1470 to 1796 of the family's 1831-position model. The record is from RNAcentral.
CCCUUAGAUGUUCUGGGCCGCACGCGCGCUACACUGACGAAUGCAACGAGCUUAUAACCUUGGCCGAAAGGUCUGGGUAAUCUCCAAAUUUCGUCGUGAUGGGGAUAGAUUAUUGCAAUUAUUAAUCUUCAACGAGGAAUGCCUAGUAAGCGCAAGUCAUCAGCUUGCGUUGAUUACGUCCCUGCCCUUUGUACACACCGCCCGUCGCUCCUACCGAUUGAAUGGUCCGGUGAAGCGCUCGGACCGCGGCCUCUUGACGGUUCGCUGUCGAUUGGCUGUGGGAAGUUCGUUAAACCUUAUCAUUUAGAGGAAGGAGAAGUCGGAACA